GACAGAGGGUGCAAACGUUGUUCGGAAUUACUGGGCGUAAAGCGUGUGUAGGCGGUCCACUAAGUCGGGUGUGAAAGCCCUGGGCUCAACCCAGGAAGUGCACUCGAAACUGGCGGGCUAGAGUAUCGGAGAGGUUGGUGGAAUUCUCGGUGUAGAGGUGAAAUUCGUAGAUAUCGAGAGGAACACCGAUGGCGAAGGCAGCUCUCUGGGACGGUACUGACGCUGAGACGCGAAAGCGUGGGGAGCGAACAGG
Molecule: ribosomal RNA, 253 nt
Filed under: uncultured bacterium
Lineage: Bacteria
Description: partial 16S ribosomal RNA
Rfam family: Bacterial small subunit ribosomal RNA
Source: RNAcentral